GGGGGGGGGGGGGGGGGGGGCGGGCGGAGGCAGGGCGGGGGGGGGGGGGGGGCUGGCUCCUGGGGUCGGCGGCGGACGGGGGGGUGAGGCCUAGGAAUCUGCCGGGUAGUGGGGGCUAGCGGCCGGAAACGGGCGCUACUCCCGCAUCCGUCCUGAGGGCGAAGGUGGGGGGUCUUCGGACCUCACGCUAUCAGAUGGGCCUAGGUCGGCUUAGCUAGUUGGUGGGGUAAAGGCCUACCAAGGCGACGAUCGGUAACUGGUCUGAGAGGAUGAUCAGUCACACUGGAACUGAGACACGGUCCAGACUCCUACGGGAGGCAGCAGUGGGGAAUAUUGGACAAUGGGCGAAAGCCUGAUCCAGCCAUGCCGCGUGUGUGAAGAAGGUCUUCGGAUUGUAAAGCACUUUAAGUUGGGAGGAAGGGCAGUAAGUUAAUACCUUGCUGUUUUGACGUUACCAACAGAAUAAGCACCGGCUAACUUCGUG
RNAcentral lists this ribosomal RNA (484 nucleotides) under uncultured bacterium. RNAcentral's name for it is "partial 16S ribosomal RNA". It matches the Rfam family "Bacterial small subunit ribosomal RNA", at positions 39 to 507 of the family's 1533-position model. The record is from RNAcentral.